UUGAGUAUUCUCCUUAAAAUGACAAAAUGUCUUUUCCCAUAAAAAAUAAAUCAAAACAAACUCCCUUUGUUAUUGUUACCACGAACUACGAGGUUUUGAUCCUCUAUUGCACUUUGUUGGUACAUAGGCAUGAGGCUUCAAAAGUCUUGGCAAACACAAAGAAAUAAACAAAAAACUUCUUUUCCCAUCUCUCCAAUCUUUUUAGAAGCAACACCCUCUUCAAGCCAAAAUGCACAUAUUUUCAAAGAGGUUCCCAUGGAGUACCAUGGAUGUUUAGGAUGCUAAU
Molecule: long non-coding RNA, 286 nt
Filed under: Lathyrus oleraceus (garden pea)
Lineage: Eukaryota; Viridiplantae; Streptophyta; Magnoliopsida; Fabales; Fabaceae
Description: Pisum sativum (pea) long non-coding RNA (PSAT_LNC031610)
Source: RNAcentral